UAGCUCAGUUGGUCAGAGUGCUUGCCUUAUAUGCAUAAGGCCCUGGAUUCAAUCUCCAG
Molecule: transfer RNA, 59 nt
Filed under: Ictidomys tridecemlineatus (thirteen-lined ground squirrel)
Lineage: Eukaryota; Metazoa; Chordata; Mammalia; Rodentia; Sciuridae
Description: Spermophilus tridecemlineatus (thirteen-lined ground squirrel) tRNA
Rfam family: tRNA
About the family: Transfer RNA (tRNA) molecules are approximately 80 nucleotides in length.
Source: Rfam by way of RNAcentral